UUCACACAAUUCAAACAAGUCAAGUCAUAAUCACACCAAACACAAUCUAGAGCACUCACAUACUUACACAUAUAUAUAUGGGAUCUGAUCCCCUAUACAGCUCUUUUAGUUUCAACCUCUGCCAACAAGAUCAACUCAAAGCUGGAUUUUCUCUUAAUAUCCAAAUGUGGGGGCCAGUAAGAUCAACUCGAGCCGUGCUUACCCCGACUUAUCC
This 214-nucleotide unclassified non-coding RNA is filed under the name Hevea brasiliensis (rubber tree). Lineage: Eukaryota; Viridiplantae; Streptophyta; Magnoliopsida; Malpighiales; Euphorbiaceae. The record is from RNAcentral.